UACGUAGGUGGCAAGCGUUGUCCGGAAUUAUUGGGCGUAAAGCGCGCGCAGGCGGUCCUUUAAGUCUGAUGUGAAAGCCCACGGCUCAACCGUGGAGGGUCAUUGGAAACUGGGGGACUUGAGUACAGAAGAGAAGAGUGGAAUUCCACGUGUAGCGGUGAAAUGCGUAGAUAUCGGAAGGAACAUCAGUGGCGAAAGCGACUUCCUGGACCAAUACUGACGCUCAUGUGCGAAAGCGUGGGGAGCAAACAGG
Molecule: ribosomal RNA, 253 nt
Filed under: uncultured bacterium
Lineage: Bacteria
Description: partial 16S ribosomal RNA
Rfam family: Bacterial small subunit ribosomal RNA
Source: RNAcentral